Molecule: non-coding RNA, 89 nt
Filed under: Bacillus thermozeamaize
Lineage: Bacteria; Bacillati; Bacillota; Bacilli; Caryophanales; Bacillaceae
Description: c-di-GMP sequence
Rfam family: c-di-GMP-I riboswitch aptamer
About the family: GEMM was predicted in a large-scale screen for bacterial structured RNA regulatory elements. Genes associated with GEMM are involved in a diverse array of functions, including chemotaxis regulation, signal transduction, secretion and chitin.
Source: RNAcentral
UCACGUUCAGGGCAAACCAAACGAAAGUUUGGGACGCAAAGCUACGGGUCUAAGGUGCAGAAAAGCGCUAUGAUCGCCGGGUUGCCGUG